Long non-coding RNA from Fukomys damarensis (Damara mole-rat), 295 nucleotides. RefSeq lists it as uncharacterized. The record is from RefSeq and is a predicted model, not a curated record. NCBI's taxonomy places the organism in Eukaryota, Metazoa, Chordata, Mammalia, Rodentia, Bathyergidae. The transcript has 3 exons.
CAUGAGGGAUGAAGACUUCCCAGUUAAUAAACUGAAUAUUUGUGCCCUCUCCCAAAUUCAUAUGCUGCUCUGACGGCCUGGAGUGGCGUCCCCUUUACCCAAAAAGAGCUGGACAACAGAAGGGGUCCUUGGCUUACAAAUGAAUUCCCUUCCAGAAGAACUUUUAAGUCCCCUCCACAUCACUGGUGCUUUUCCUCUUUCUUCCACAUAUCCUGGGCUCUGAUUGAACGCUAUUCUACUGUACAUGACUCGGUUGCCCUGUACAGUAAGCGCACAGCAACGCAACAGUGACAAU